Gopherus evgoodei (Goodes thornscrub tortoise) is the source of this 1229-nucleotide long non-coding RNA. RefSeq lists it as uncharacterized. The record is from RefSeq and is a predicted model, not a curated record. NCBI's taxonomy places the organism in Eukaryota, Metazoa, Chordata, Testudines, Testudinidae. The transcript is spliced from 4 exons.
GGAGGGAAGUUUGUGUGUGAGUUCUUUGUUCUUCGUCUUGUGUCUGACCCUCUCGGCUCUGAGAGUGAUCUUUGUGUCUCCUGGCUUUUUAAUCUCUGUUUCCAAGUUCUAUAUCAAAAGCCAGCUGUACACUGGAAAAAGGUAUUUUGGAACUACUUGAGUUACUGCUUCCAACAAGAUAAAAAACUCAUCAGCUGAAAAUAUAACAACUCAGAUACUUGUCAGGGUUUAUUUUAGUACAUGCUGCACUGAUCAAUUUCUUAAGUAUGCUUGAAUUCACAUCUCCAGGAUUUCCUAAUUGGCACUUACUGCUUGAACAGUGCAAACCCAAACAGAUCAAAGUGAUGUGUGACAAAAAUGUUCAAGGCACAAUGAAGCACUUGUGUAAGCCAAGCCAAGAACACUUGGAGUAGUACAGUGGGAAAGCAGGAAACAAGAGCUGAAAACUGAAGCAAAGGUGGCAAGAAAUGAAAUAAAAUUAGACUGAUAGGACUGCAUUAUGAGGAGAAAAUGGGAGAACAACCAGAAGUUGCAACUUCAGGUUGUUCCAUUCCCAAUUAGACAGAGAUUAGGCAUGUCAAAUUGCUGCUUUUUAUUUACAGUAGAAGAGCAUGUUGCUCAUAUAUAUCCAAACAGUGGUACUAGUUAUAGCCAGCUUUAUUAGAUGUUUGAAGUUUUACAUGCUUUAGUUUUGAGACAACAUCAACCACUACUUUUGACAAAUGCUACUUAAGCUGGAACUUUCAGUUAUCUACCUCAACAUACCACAGUACUGUACUACCAAAGUCGGCUUUAUAUUGCAUUUGACUCUUAUUUUAUCACUUAGAUGCACGGUUGGGGAAAAUCAGUGAUUUUAGAGUAAACCGCAUACAAAGACAAAACUUGGAGCAAAGCAAGGUUUAUUAGAGACAAAAUCACACAAGCACUGCUGGUGACAGAGAUGUACAUUGUAGGCAAUUCCAUAAUACAAGACCAAGAGAUCAAAGUUAAUAGCAAGUACAUUUAAAAGAAGAGGAAAUACACCUAUGCGCAGCCUGCUGCAGAACAGAGCGGUGCAGACGCUGAGGCCUGGUCUACCCCGGAAACUCAGAUCGACCCAGCUACGGAGCUCAGGGCUAUGAAGAAAUCUACCCCCGCCCCGACUGCAGCCACGCCACCUAGCCCGGGUGUAGACGCAGCUAAGGGCAGCCACACUGGGCCCCCCGGCUCCGACUCCCCCAUCCCGCGAA